This 531-nucleotide ribosomal RNA is filed under the name uncultured fungus. RNAcentral describes it as "eukaryotic LSU rRNA". It matches the Rfam family "Eukaryotic large subunit ribosomal RNA", at positions 73 to 628 of the family's 3401-position model. Lineage: Eukaryota; Fungi. The record is from RNAcentral.
GAUUGCCUCAGUAACGGCGAGUGAAGCGGCAACAGCUCAAAUUUGAAAUCUGGCCCCAGGCCCGAGUUGUAAUUUGCAGAGGAUGCUUUUGGCGAGGUGCCUUCCGAGUUCCCUGGAACGGGACGCCAUAGAGGGUGAGAGCCCCGUACGGUUGGACACCAAGUCUUUGUAAAGCUCCUUCGACGAGUCGAGUAGUUUGGGAAUGCUGCUCAAAAUGGGAGGUAUAUUUCUUCUAAAGCUAAAUAUUGGCCAGAGACCGAUAGCGCACAAGUAGAGUGAUCGAAAGAUGAAAAGCACUUUGAAAAGAGGGUUAAACAGCACGUGAAAUUGUUAAAAGGGAAGCGCUUAUGACCAGACUUGCGCCCGGUGAAUCACCCAGCUCUCGCGGCUGGGGCACUUUGCCGGCUCAGGCCAGCAUCAGCUCGCUGUCGUGGACAAAAGCUUCGGGAACGUAGCUCUCUUCGGGGAGUGUUAUAGCCCGUUGCAUAAUACCCUUCGGCGGGCUGAGGUACGCGCUCCGCAAGGAUGCUG